This 769-nucleotide ribosomal RNA is filed under the name uncultured bacterium. Its description in RNAcentral is "bacterial SSU rRNA". It matches the Rfam family "Bacterial small subunit ribosomal RNA", at positions 1 to 768 of the family's 1533-position model. The record is from RNAcentral.
CCCUUAGAGUUUGAUCCUGGCUCAGAACAAACGCUGGCGGCGUGCCUAAUACAUGCAAGUCGAACGCAGUAGCAAUACUGAGUGGCGCACGGGUGAGUAACACGUGGAUAAUCUCCCAUUGAGUGGGGAAUAACCUUUCGAAAGAAGGGCUAAUACCGCAUAAGACCACAGGAUCUUCGGAUCUAGGGGUCAAAGGGGGGCGUAAGCCUCUCGCUUAAUGAUGAGUCCGCGCCCGAUUAGCUAGUUGGUGAGGUAAUGGCUCACCAAGGCAUUUAUCGGUAGCUGGUCUGAGAGGAUGACCAGUCACACUGGAACUGAGACACGGUCCAGACUCCUACGGGAGGCAGCAGUAGGGAAUAUUGCGCAAUGGACGAAAGUCUGACGCAGCGACGCCGCGUGAGUGAUGAAGGCCUUCGGGUCGUAAAGCUCUGUUGUACGGGAAGAAGAUUGCAUAGCUAAUACCUAUGCAAUUUGACGGUACCGUAUAAGAAAGGACCGGCUAACUUCGUGCCAGCAGCCGCGGUAAGACGAGGGGUCCUAGCGUUGUUCGGAAUCACUGGGCGUAAAGCGUUUGUAGGCGGCUCUAUAAGUCGGGUGUGAAAUCCCACGGCUCAACCGUGGAAGUGCAUUCGAAACUGCAGAGCUUGAAUAUGGAAGAGGAGAGUAGAAUUGCUGGUGUAGUGGUGAAAUACGUAGAUAUCAGCAGAAUACCGGUGGCGAAAGCGACUCUCUGGUCCAAUAUUGACGCUGAGAACGAAAGUGCGGGGAU